RNAcentral lists this long non-coding RNA (2576 nucleotides) under Musa acuminata (dwarf banana). Its description in RNAcentral is "long non-coding RNA (MACU_LNC007978)". Lineage: Eukaryota; Viridiplantae; Streptophyta; Magnoliopsida; Zingiberales; Musaceae. The record is from RNAcentral.
GCGCUCUUUCUCGACAACCCGGGCGCUCUCCUAUAUUCUAGACAAAACCAUAAGAUAGGGGGUGUAGCUAACGAUGGGCGGGCUAACAGAUGAAAUAGGGAUUUGAGCUAAGGACAAAUAGGCUUACUACCCCGGUUUUCAAACGAACAUUUCUUACUUGCUUUCUUUAACACUGGCAUCGGAUCCUAGCAACUGUGCCUAUGAGCCUUGGGUGAAAUCUACCACUACUCCCUUUUAGUCUUGACUCCACCAAUAAACUAGUAUACUUAUGAGAUCCCUUUGAGUCUUGACUCCACCAAUAAACUAGUAUACUUAUGAGAACGAAACUCGAAACGGGGCUUUAGCUUACUAGCUAUUAGAAUGGAACCUGGGCGUAUGAGACUGUAGCUGCUGCUUCCAAUACUUCGCUAACUGCUAGUCAGAACGGGGCUACAGCUAGUAAGGCUCUCACCACUAUUGGAAAGAAAGGCACUGGUGCUGAUGAGGCUGAUACUACGCAGAGAGGAAACUUCAUACUUUCUCUUACAAUAUUAGAGUUGAAUCACCGCUAACAAGGAGGCUAGCAAGAUUGUGAAACAGUGGUGCAAUACUGAGUUUCACUGUAUGGAAUACGAGAAUUAGCCCAAUGCAGGUUAGAGAAUAACCCCAGCGAAUCACUGAUAUCGGUCUCGAACAGCCGAGUAGAGUAUAAGAAUAUGUAUGGGUACGAUGUAGCCGCAUAUAGAGUAUAAGUAAUAAGGAUAAGAAUACAGCUACCGCCUAAAAGAGUCUAACAAAUAAGUAAGGAUACAUCGGAAAUAAAGUCAGAAUUACAGAAAUCAAUAAGAAGCAAAAGUCUAGUGUAGUACGCUCUUAUUUCUUAUACAAUAUUCUGAUAUUUCUUAUACAAUAUUCUUAUAUCUAGUGGACCAGGCGCUCUCCACACUCCCAACGGACCUUACCGAACGCACCAUACCCGAUAUGCUGUAUUUAGAGUCGAAGUCGUCCAUACCCAUCCUUGUAGAGUACCCCGGCUUCAAAUGGAACUUCCCGAACCGCCCUCAAUUAUGUAUUUUGAGAUCCAAUAUACAAGUACCACGGCGCAUCCUUUGACUAGUGAGUUUUUCUCUUAGCGAGGUCUCCUUUGAUGAGUUGUUCUGUUCUCUUAUCUUAGCGAGGUCUCCUUUGAUGCAAGGUCUAUUCUAAGAAACCCCGGUGGUUGACACAGCUUCCUUUAGGGACCCAUACUAAGCACCCCUAAUAGCUAGGACACUUAAGUCAAUAACCACUCCUGUGACUUUUCUGCUUGCCUACUUGUCGAGUUGGUUUACAGCUUCCUUAACCUUAAUGCUUGGACCACCACAAGGGAAAGCCCAGCACUGAACCCUAGACUCAAGUUGCCAUUGCUUGUUAGCGAGUAGAGUUAUACUUUCCAUUGCUUUCGAAAAGACCUUGUGCGUUAGUGAGCUCACUGUUGCUUAUUCAAUAAGACUACAUGUUUCUUGUUUGAAUUGAAUUGAGAUAGCCAUAGCAAUAGAAUCUAGUGAAAAAGAGGAGAAUUGAGGUAACCUAACUUCCAACUAGUAUAGAAUUGAGGUAACCUAACUCCAACUAGUAAAAGGGUGAACUCGCUAGUAAUAUGAGAAGGGCACGCACCCAGUAUCAUUAUGUAAUUAAGUAACCUGAGUGCUCACUCACUUAUUGCUUUUGAAGCUCCGCUGUAGCUUAUGGGAGUUUCGAAGUGCUUACGUGAAGUUUGUCGGCGAAGUGGAAAGAAAUGCUACUCUUACUCUUACAAAGAAAUGCUACUCUUAAUGAGGGGAGAAGCUAAUGCAUCCUGAGGGCGAGAGUCGAGAGCGAGAGUCAGUAGUGGAGUUUGCAGAAAUUAAGGAAUAGUGCAAACUAUUGUAAGUCUCACAGGCCCACAACACCAAUAGAACAUAAGUCGAAAGUGGAAAAGUGGACCCUGGGUGAAACUAAUAGAAGAGAAAGAUGAAGUGAAAAGCCGAGGAAAGAAGCCUUCUUCAGAUCACAACAAGCAAAGAAAAGAAAACUAAAGCAUAAGUAGAAGAGACAAGCAGAAAAGCGACUACCGAUACGAGUAUACUAGCUUUUAAGCCAUAAUCAGUAUAGUAUCUUCAAGCAAGGGCAAUAAGAGAGAGAGAAAUAGAUAGAUAUUAAUUGAUGUUUAGAGAACCAUUAGCCUUGUCCUUUGUUGAAUAAGCAGUGCACUUAGGACCUAAGCCCUUGAACGUAUGCAGCAGUAGAUUAAUUUGUAGCGGGGGUUUAGGUGGGAACUCUUCUUUCGAUGCUUUGGUGACAGAGAAGGAGGUCUUUUGCUUUAAAGCGGGUGAGACCACGUUUCGACUGUUCACUCAAUUAGAACGCUAUUGGUAGGAAAAUAUACCCUUGCUGCCUCUUUAGGAAUCAGGUGAAUCCGCUUUGGUGCUAUCAUACUCAUUUUAUAGUAAUUGAUUUAGUUAAAGGCUCUAUAACUCAAAAGAUCAUAAGAGAGAGAAGAAGAGUUAACGCAGCUAAGAGAUAGGAGAAGUCUGGCUUAAUAGAGACUUAUUGGAUAUUCUUUUAUACAUUCAGAG